AUGGCGACGUUGCAGCUGAACCACAUCGCGUGGGAGACCGGUGACAUGCGAGGCCUGGUCGCCUUCUACGAGGAGGUGUUGGGCUUCGAGCGCGUCCCAGCGCCCGCCUACUCCGGCUUCCAGGUCGCCUGGCUCCGCCUCCCAGGCUCCCCCGACGUCAUGCUCCACAUCAUCAAGUGCGACCCAGGCGUUGCCGCCCUGGGGGCCGCGCAGGGGGUCGCCGCGCCCGCACAGCUGCCCUGGCGGCACCACCUCGCCUUCUCCGUGGCCGACUUCGACGGGUUCCUCAGCGUGCUCAGGACCCGCGACACCUAGCUGUUCGAGAAGUCCCAGCCCGAUGGCUGCACGUGCCAGGUCUUCUUCUUCGAUCCCGACGGUGAGUGA
This 384-nucleotide ribosomal RNA is filed under the name Triticum aestivum (bread wheat). Its description in RNAcentral is "partial small subunit ribosomal RNA". The record is from RNAcentral. Lineage: Eukaryota; Viridiplantae; Streptophyta; Magnoliopsida; Poales; Poaceae.